Molecule: non-coding RNA, 334 nt
Organism: Pelobates cultripes (western spadefoot toad)
Lineage: Eukaryota; Metazoa; Chordata; Amphibia; Anura; Pelobatidae
Source: the annotation of a GenBank genome assembly
CUCAACCAUUAAACAAGACAUUUAACCAUAAUGGCAGCUCAGUGACUCCCGAAUGCCUUGGAACCCCUGGUCGAUGCUGCUUGUACAUGUAGACACCCGUGCUGCAGAGUCCAGCAACAGCAUCCAGAAAUUACUUGUGUGAAUUAUUCAAUAGUGAAGGCAAGGGGGGGCGUUGUUAAAUUAGGGGACGCAAAAAAAAUAAAUUAAAAAUGGGGGGAGAGAUAACUGUAUAGUAGCACAUGGAGAAUGGCGAAAGAACUCAAACAUUGGCUGUUUUCAAUUUACAAAUCACUUUGUGGAACGUUGUGCUGCUCCCUAGUUUACUUGGAGUCUG